GUCUACGGCCAUACCACCCUGAACGCGCCCGAGCUCGUUUGAUCUCGGAAGCUAAGCAGGUCGGGCUGGUUUGGUUAGUACUGGAAUGGGAGACCGCCUGGGAAACCGGGUGCUGUAGGCU
RNAcentral lists this ribosomal RNA (121 nucleotides) under Camelus dromedarius (Arabian camel). The record is from RNAcentral. Lineage: Eukaryota; Metazoa; Chordata; Mammalia; Artiodactyla; Camelidae.